CCUACGGGUGGCAGCAGUGAGGAAUAUUGGUCAAUGGCCGGAAGCCUGAACCAGCCAAGCCGCGUGAGGGAGGAAGGUGCAGAGCGUCGUAGACCUCUUUUGCCGGGGGACAAAAGGCCGGACUCGUCCCGUCCUGAGGGUACCCGGAGAAAAAGCAUCGGCUAACUCCGUGCCAGCAGCCGCGGUAAUACGGAGGAUGCGAGCGUUAUCCGGAUUCAUUGGGUUUAAAGGGUGCGCAGGCGGGCCGUUAAGCCGGCGGUGAAAUCGCGGGGCUCAACCCCGCCGAGCCGUCGAAACUGGGGGGCUAGAGUGGGGGAGAGGCAUGCGGAAUGCGCGGUGUAGCGGUGAAAUGCAUAGAUAUCGCGCAGAACCCCGAUUGCGAAGGCAGCGUGCCGUGGCGCAACUGACGCUGAGGCACGAAAGCGUGGGGAUCGAACAGGAUUAGAUACCCGGGUAGUC
RNAcentral lists this ribosomal RNA (459 nucleotides) under uncultured bacterium. Its description in RNAcentral is "partial 16S ribosomal RNA". It matches the Rfam family "Bacterial small subunit ribosomal RNA", at positions 338 to 795 of the family's 1533-position model. The record is from RNAcentral.